This is a long non-coding RNA of Macadamia integrifolia, 411 nucleotides long. RefSeq lists it as uncharacterized. NCBI's taxonomy places the organism in Eukaryota, Viridiplantae, Streptophyta, Magnoliopsida, Proteales, Proteaceae. The transcript has 2 exons. The record is from RefSeq and is a predicted model, not a curated record.
AUAGAUGAAAAUCAGAAGAAACGUUUGGUUUCAAUGAAAAUCUGAAAUUUUUGUGAGAACCCAAUAAAGCACAGUGCGUAUAGGAAUGAAUUAGAGCUGGGUUCUUAAGGGGCUUUACCAUUUCGAGCAACGAACAUUCAUGAGUUUCAGUCAAUGUAAGCCAUUGAAGAUCCAAGCGACGUUGAAGAGACCAUAGCCAAAUGAAAAUGCAGUCAAUGAAGGUGGUCUCUAAUUGCUAGAAGAAUUCCAGGAAGAACAGCAGAGGAGAUCCAGAAGUAUUGGACCUCAAGAUACUCCCCGAGUAGUGAAUGAAGUAGAAUCGGAUUGUGGUUUUCUUGUAUCUCAGCAAGCAAUUUUUUAGCAAUUUUAGCGAUUUUGGGGGAAUUGCUUGGUUGAAGAAGACAAGAACUA